This is a long non-coding RNA of Herpailurus yagouaroundi (jaguarundi), 2105 nucleotides long. RefSeq lists it as uncharacterized. The record is from RefSeq and is a predicted model, not a curated record. The transcript is spliced from 3 exons. NCBI's taxonomy places the organism in Eukaryota, Metazoa, Chordata, Mammalia, Carnivora, Felidae.
UGAGAUCAUGACCUGAGCCGAAAUCGAGAGUCAGAUGCUUAACUGACGGAGCCACCCAGGCACCCCUCUCUUAGCUGUUUUUGAUGGGAGGGUCAGGAGGGGGAGACGGCAAAAGGGGAUGGGAGAGGAAGGGCUGUGUCUGCCUCUGCCAUCAUGAAUCAAGGCUGCACCCCAGCCUGGGUGCCGAGCGCGUGAGUGCCGGCUGGUGGAUCGCCCUUGCCUGUGCCCCCAACAUGUGGAACCGGUGUGAGUGUGCUCAGCUCCAGGGGUCGUGCAACGGAAAGAACAGAUGGAAGUUUUCAGGUCAUGGCGAUGGAGAGAGUUCCCUUUCCACAUAGCUAAAGAAAAAAAGGAAUACGUCAGGACUGUGAAAUUUUGAGAUGAGAAAGAAGGCACACCAGUAACACAGGUGGAGUAAAACGGAAACAGAUGCUCCUCAAGGAAGCUUUGUCCCCCUCUGGGCUCACAGAGGGUCUUUAGCUCCUGGAUGCACCUUCCUAUGCCUCACGGGUUCAUGAAGAUCCACCAUUCCAGCCGCUUGCACUGCUUGCGACCUUGCCCGAGAAAAGGUCCUCCCGCCCUCUCAUCUGGAACUUGUAUAUUCCAGAAACUCUUAGAGGAUGUUCUUUAUUACCACAUUUCUCAAGCUGUGGAUUUGACAAGCUGCAGAAUUUGAGUUCAUUUUAUUUUCAUUCAGAAAACAUAGGCACCUGGUUUUGAUAUGUAUAAAAAUCAGCAACAUGGAAACAAGCAUACCAAGCAAAGUUCAGAUGAGACAUGAAGGUAAAGAAAGAUUUCUUUGGUAUUUGGUGGGUGUCCUCACCAGGACAACUGUGAUAAUUAAGAUAUUCCUUCUUCCUUUAUUUAUUCAUUCCUUCAUCAACUACUCAGUGUGCAUUUACGCAUCCUAUGCAUUUUCUAGGAGCUGGUGAUAGAUCAGUGAGCGAAACAGACUAAAAUCUUUUUCCUCGUGGUGAUUAUACCCUACUGGGAAGAUACAUAAUAAACACAAUAAUAAGAAAAGGAUAUAUUCAUUUUAGGGGUGUUCGAAGAUGAUUAGUCUAUAGGAAAAUAUAAAAUAGGAAGAUCAGUUGUGUGGAGGGAAGGAAGGUCUCAGUUGUCCCAGUGAGAAUAGAGUAUUUGGGCAGAACUUUGAAGGAGAUGUGGAAUGAGCCAUAUGGGUAUUUGGAGGAGAGGGUCUUGCUCCAGAGAGCAGCCCAGACAAAGAUCUGAGGUAGAAAAGUGCUGAGCAUGGUCAGGGAAUAGCAGGAACUGAGAGAGAGAGGGAGAUGAGGUCAAGUCAUGAGGGUGGCAGUGUGUGUGGACAACCAUCCAAGAGAAGAACCAGGAACUCAGUCAAAGAAUUUGCCGCAGGCUUCAAGUCAAUGCACAGUUAAGCAACGUCAGUUUCACCUCCUGGAUUUCAGAUUCCUUUCCUCGUCUCCAUUCCCACUGCCUUGCCCUCCUUCAGCCUGCUGUCGGUUCUCCCCAGGGCGGCCUCACCUCUGACCCGGUUGGCCCCAUGUCUAUUCCUGUAUUCAACAACCCUUUCCCCACACUGCAGCCAGGCACCUAUAAUCAGCUCCCUUUUGGUCACGAGAGGCUAAAAUUUUUUAUGGCCUCUAAGUUUUGAUUUUACCCACCUAUCCAGGCUCCUCUGGCAGCACACAGCUCUGUGAUACCUCCCAUCACCGGAGCUGUACAGAGAUGCUUCUCUUUCCCAGAAAUCAAGGUCUUGUUCACUUCCCCACUCCCCGGGGCACCCUCCCCACAUACAUCAUAUUAACUGCUGCCUGUAUUUUCUCUAUCAGCUCACAGGUCCAUUUUUCAGGAAAAACUGACCUGCUGCCCGUGCCAUGUAUGUGCAUUUUGCAUAUUAUGGUCAUUUUGCUGACUGUAAUUGUGCUAGAUCAUCAACUUAAGGUUUAUAGAUGCACUUCUGGGAGUUUCUGUUCUUAGAAGAUUUGGGGAGCUAAAAGUGAAUCUGCUCAUUAAAAAAUAGUAUUUGAGAGGCACGCGGGUGGCCCAGCAGGUCAAGUGUCUGACUUCAGCUCAGGUCAUGACCUCACGGGUCAUGGAUUCCAGCCCCACCUCAGGCUCUGUGC